RNAcentral lists this ribosomal RNA (1398 nucleotides) under Lactiplantibacillus plantarum. Its description in RNAcentral is "bacterial SSU rRNA". It matches the Rfam family "Bacterial small subunit ribosomal RNA", at positions 65 to 1433 of the family's 1533-position model. The record is from RNAcentral. Lineage: Bacteria; Bacillati; Bacillota; Bacilli; Lactobacillales; Lactobacillaceae.
AACUCUGGUAUUGAUUGGUGCUUGCAUCAUGAUUUACAUUUGAGUGAGUGGCGAACUGGUGAGUAACACGUGGGAAACCUGCCCAGAAGCGGGGGAUAACACCUGGAAACAGAUGCUAAUACCGCAUAACAACUUGGACCGCAUGGUCCGAGUUUGAAAGAUGGCUUCGGCUAUCACUUUUGGAUGGUCCCGCGGCGUAUUAGCUAGAUGGUGGGGUAACGGCUCACCAUGGCAAUGAUACGUAGCCGACCUGAGAGGGUAAUCGGCCACAUUGGGACUGAGACACGGCCCAAACUCCUACGGGAGGCAGCAGUAGGGAAUCUUCCACAAUGGACGAAAGUCUGAUGGAGCAACGCCGCGUGAGUGAAGAAGGGUUUCGGCUCGUAAAACUCUGUUGUUAAAGAAGAACAUAUCUGAGAGUAACUGUUCAGGUAUUGACGGUAUUUAACCAGAAAGCCACGGCUAACUACGUGCCAGCAGCCGCGGUAAUACGUAGGUGGCAAGCGUUGUCCGGAUUUAUUGGGCGUAAAGCGAGCGCAGGCGGUUUUUUAAGUCUGAUGUGAAAGCCUUCGGCUCAACCGAAGAAGUGCAUCGGAAACUGGGAAACUUGAGUGCAGAAGAGGACAGUGGAACUCCAUGUGUAGCGGUGAAAUGCGUAGAUAUAUGGAAGAACACCAGUGGCGAAGGCGGCUGUCUGGUCUGUAACUGACGCUGAGGCUCGAAAGUAUGGGUAGCAAACAGGAUUAGAUACCCUGGUAGUCCAUACCGUAAACGAUGAAUGCUAAGUGUUGGAGGGUUUCCGCCCUUCAGUGCUGCAGCUAACGCAUUAAGCAUUCCGCCUGGGGAGUACGGCCGCAAGGCUGAAACUCAAAGGAAUUGACGGGGGCCCGCACAAGCGGUGGAGCAUGUGGUUUAAUUCGAAGCUACGCGAAGAACCUUACCAGGUCUUGACAUACUAUGCAAAUCUAAGAGAUUAGACGUUCCCUUCGGGGACAUGGAUACAGGUGGUGCAUGGUUGUCGUCAGCUCGUGUCGUGAGAUGUUGGGUUAAGUCCCGCAACGAGCGCAACCCUUAUUAUCAGUUGCCAGCAUUAAGUUGGGCACUCUGGUGAGACUGCCGGUGACAAACCGGAGGAAGGUGGGGAUGACGUCAAAUCAUCAUGCCCCUUAUGACCUGGGCUACACACGUGCUACAAUGGAUGGUACAACGAGUUGCGAACUCGCGAGAGUAAGCUAAUCUCUUAAAGCCAUUCUCAGUUCGGAUUGUAGGCUGCAACUCGCCUACAUGAAGUCGGAAUCGCUAGUAAUCGCGGAUCAGCAUGCCGCGGUGAAUACGUUCCCGGGCCUUGUACACACCGCCCGUCACACCAUGAGAGUUUGUAACACCCAAAGUCGGUGG